This 919-nucleotide long non-coding RNA is filed under the name Homo sapiens (human). Its description in RNAcentral is "HSALNT0045852". The record is from RNAcentral. Lineage: Eukaryota; Metazoa; Chordata; Mammalia; Primates; Hominidae.
CUUUUUUUGAUUAUUUUAUUAUGUCACUUUUGCCAAAAAGUACCUGCCUUCUCUCCCAAAGCAGAUUAUCAUUUCCUAGAAGGGAGGGACAUUUCUUGUAUCCAUAAGUUUCCUCCUGACCUGGCAGAUUGUACAUGUUAUACAUGUUGGUUGGUGAUAUGACUGAUAGGAAGCUGAAUGAGAACUAGCACAUUUUUAACAAAGCAAAGCAGCAGGUAUCAGAACUCAGAAUCAAAUAAAAGCUGUCCCCCAAUUCAUGAAUGGAUAUGCUUGUGGUUUGUAUUUGUGUUUUAAUUACUAAGCAAUCUGGUUCAUCCCUUUGUGCAAAGCAUUGCCUUAGGUUACAGUGUAGGAAACUGUAUUAGCUCAUCCUCACACUGUUACAAAGAAAUACCUAAGACUGGAUAAUUCAUAAGGAAAAGAGGCUUAAUUGGCUCACAGUUCCACAGGCUGUACAGGAAGCAUAGUGGCAUCUGCUUCUGGGGAAGCCUCAGAGAGCUUUUAUUCAUGGCAGAAGGCAAAGCAAGGGCAAGCAUCUUACAUGGCAGGAACUUGACCAAGAGAGUGGGGAGGUGCCACACACAUUUAAACAACCAGAUCUCAUGAGAGCUCUAUCACAAGAACAGCACCAAAGGGAUGGUGCUAACCCAUUCAUGAAGGAUCCAUCCCCAUGAUCCAAUCACCUCCACCAGGCCCCACCUCUGACAUGGGGGAUUACCUUGACGUGUGAUUUGGGCAGGGACACACAUCCAAACCAUAUCAGAAACAGAGGAUGGGUAAGAUAUUGUUUCUGCCCUUAUGAAGUUUGUGAUCCCUAAAUGCCCAUCACUAAGGUGCUAGCUGGAGCACUGAUGAUCCAUACAUUCAAUGGAGCUGUAGCAGUCAUGAAAAGGAUCAAGCAGAUCUAUAUGUUCUGUUG